GGGCGGUUAGCUCAGUUGGUUAGAGCGCCACGUUGACAUCGUGGAGGCCACAAGUUCGAGUCUUGUACCGCCCACUA
This 77-nucleotide transfer RNA is filed under the name Planctomycetota bacterium. RNAcentral describes it as "Planctomycetes bacterium (freshwater metagenome) tRNA-Val". It matches the Rfam family "tRNA". Rfam says of the family: Transfer RNA (tRNA) molecules are approximately 80 nucleotides in length. Their secondary structure includes four short double-helical elements and three loops (D, anti-codon, and T loops). The record is from RNAcentral. Lineage: Bacteria; Pseudomonadati; Planctomycetota.